RNAcentral lists this ribosomal RNA (518 nucleotides) under Nostoc linckia LCRSM-9b. RNAcentral describes it as "partial 16S ribosomal RNA". It matches the Rfam family "Bacterial small subunit ribosomal RNA", at positions 187 to 719 of the family's 1533-position model. The record is from RNAcentral. Lineage: Bacteria; Bacillati; Cyanobacteriota; Cyanophyceae; Nostocales; Nostocaceae.
GGAUGUGCCGAGAGGGAAAAGAUUGAUGCCUGAAGAUGAGCUCGCGUUCUGAUUUAGCUAGUUGGUGGUGUAAAGAGCGCACCCAAGCGACGAUCCAUAGCUGGUUUGAGAGGAUGACUCACCCCCCUGGGACUGAGACCCGGCCCCGACUCCUACGGGGGGCAGCAGUGGGGAAUUUUUCGCAAAGGGGGGAAACCCGACGGAGCAAUUCCGCGUGAGGGAGGAAGGGUUCUGGGUUGUAAACCUUUUUUUUCCGGGAAGAACGCUAUGAAGGUACCUGAGGAAUCAGCAUCGGCUAACUCCGUGCCAGCAGCCGCGGUAAUACGGAGGAUGCAAGCGUUAUCCGGAAUGAUUGGGCGUAAAGGGUCCGCAGGUGGCAAUGUAAGUCUGCUGUCAAAGAGCGAAGCUCAACCUCAUAAAGGCAGUGGAAACUACACAGCUAGAGUGCGUUCGGGGCAGAGGGAAUUCCUGGUGUAGCGGUGAAAUGCGUAGAGAUCAGGAAGAACACCGGUGGCGAA